UGCUAUGAUAUUUUAUUUUAAUAUCUCUGAUAUUGGUGUUUUGCCAUGGACAUGAUGGUAUUCUGAAAACAAAGUUGAUUUAAAACAGGUAAAAGUUGAUCUUGAGCUUGAGCUCAAGCUUAUUGAGCUCAAACUCAAGCUUGAGCUUGAGCCUAUCGAGCUUGAGUUUGAGCUUGUUUUAAUGAGAUUAUUGAGCUCGGCUCAUUUAAACCCCUACCAGCAACCACUUCUCCUCCCUUUCUCUUAGUUCUCUCCCUACUGCAACUCCAAAUUCCAACGCAUAUCUUGUAUCUCCAUGCUGAAUCAGGUUUUUAUUGACAACAUUCAGAUCUAUCUUCUCUGUUCUUUAACCAUUUAUUUGUUUUCUUAUGUUUUAUUAUAUGCUGCAUUACUCAUUAUUUCUUCUUGUUACAAAAUCUUGUCUUUUUAAGCUUUGAUUUUUUAGAGUAAAUCUGGGUUGUUCUUUAGCCUUUGAUGAAAUGAUGUGGGCAAGUGUAAGGCAAAAAAUUCUCUCUGGCACCUCCUCUGCUUCUUCGGUUAGUUGUGAAAGAACUUUUUUUUUUAUUUUCUUUUUAUUUUAUUUAAUUUCCUUUCUAUUUGUAUAGCCUUCAAAGCAUGUUAUUCUAUUUAAAUUUUGAUUUGUGGGUUUUUUAAUUGAACUCAAAUUUAAUUUAUGUUUUAUAUAAAAUAGGUUUUAGAGCAAUCAUUGCUAGGUACUCAUUCUAAUUUGGCACCAUUAUCACGAUCUUACCCUAUUGCCUUGAAGUAGGUAACCAUGCUUGAGGUCUCUUGCUCUAUGUGUUUUCACUUUUGUAUUGUUAGUUUGUUUUCAUAUUAUAGCUUGUAUUCUUAUGUGUAGUGUUAAUUCUUACUAGUUUUUAUUUUACCUGUUUAGAUAUUGCCAUUUGAAAGACGAUCAAACAACUUACGAAAUAUUGAUUCCCAUGGUUACCUAAGAUUUCCAGUUGGUUCAAGGCCUGUAAGGUCAGCUAUGUCUUGCUAUUUCUUGUUCUCUGUUUCUUUUUCCAUGGCAUAUGCACACACACUGCUUCGUUAUACCAUUAGCCUCAUAAUAUUCAUAAAGAAAUUCCUUUCCAAAAUAUUUGUUCUUUUUAUAGGAAAUGCUCCUUUUCUUGAACAAACUUAAAGAAAAGAGGAAAAGUAGUUUGAUGCCUACAGGCUAGAGCAUAUAUUAAAAAGAUUAAAGGGCUUGUCAAUAAAUUGAGCUUGCUUAUCUUGUCAAAUUCAAACGUUUAACCAUAUUCCAUUAACAAUUUCUCUUCUACAACAGGGAAUUUAUUUCAUUUUGUCAGGUGUAUCCCUCCAUUUCUAUGCUGAGCAGGUCCUUUUUCUCAGAUACGCCUAAAACUUAUGUUCCACCUUCAAAAUCUUCAGCAACAGAAGGUAAGAAGGCAUGUUGCAAUGAGACUUCCCUUUGUUGAUGCAUUCCUGUUGAAAAUUAAGAAGAACAAAGAUCUGCUUGCUAACAAGAAAAUUUGGUCACGUAGAUCAGUUAUUUUACCAGAAUUUGUUGGUUACACAGUACGGAUUUACAACGGAAGAACUUUUGUCCGCUGUAAGAUAACUGAAGCAAAGGUUGGUCAUAAAUUUGGAGAAUUUGCUUACACACGAAAGCGAAGACUUCUUAGAGCAAGUACUGCAGCAGCAAAAAAGAAAGGGCCCAAGGGGAAAAAGACUCACGCCAGGGUCUGUGGAAGUAUGUCUUCAUAGUUGCUUGCUGUAUGUUAGUGUGCGUGUCCAUUAACACUGUCCAUCUCUCGACUUAGUAGAGGAUGUUGCAGCGGUCUUCAGAAUCACGAUCAAUAAUGUUGCCAUCCAUUCAAAAUCAGUCAGUGUUGCUGUUGGUGGGCGUUUUAUGUGAUUAAUAUCAGGCAAAUUACUUAAAAAAUCAUUGACGCACUGCUGAUAAGCUUAUAUGUGUGGAAUGGAUAUGCUUCCUGAAUCACAUAUGCAGGUAUGUUGGUGCAUACAUAUUGAGUUUUCUCGCUCAUUUAUGUAUUUCCUAUGUUUAUUUCUUUCCCCAUAAAAUGCAGCAACUGCUGAGAAUUGUUGGGUUAUUUAUUUGUAUCUAGAUGUGGAUUAGCAAUAAUCAAUUGUUAGGCUCAGUGACAGAUUAAAUGAUGAUAUCAAAUAAUAAGUUUUAGUAAUUGGCAAUAUCUAAAUGGAUUGGGUCAUGUGAUUGGGCAAACUUGUAAUGGGUCUGGCUGUCCAUAAACCCACCAAUUAAGGAAGAAGCUCAAACUCUC
Molecule: unclassified non-coding RNA, 2267 nt
Filed under: Hevea brasiliensis (rubber tree)
Lineage: Eukaryota; Viridiplantae; Streptophyta; Magnoliopsida; Malpighiales; Euphorbiaceae
Source: RNAcentral